This 516-nucleotide ribosomal RNA is filed under the name uncultured bacterium. RNAcentral describes it as "bacterial SSU rRNA". It matches the Rfam family "Bacterial small subunit ribosomal RNA", at positions 9 to 492 of the family's 1533-position model. The record is from RNAcentral.
GAGUUUGAUCUUGGCUCAGGACGAACGCUGGCGGCGUGCCUAAUACAUGCAAGUCGAACGCUUUUUUCAAUCAUCGUAGCUUGCUACACCGAUUGAAAAUUGAGUGGCGAACGGGUGAGUAACACGUGGGUAACCUGCCCAAAAGAGGGGGAUAACACUUGGAAACAGGUGCUAAUACCGCAUAACCAUGAUGACCGCAUGGUCAUUAUGUAAAAGAUGGUUUCGGCUAUCACUUUUGGAUGGACCCCGCGGCGUAUUAACUUGUUGGUGGGUAACGGCCUACCAAGGUAAUGAUACGUAGCCGAACUGAGAGGUUGAUUGGCCACAUUGGGACUGAGACACGGCCCAAACUCCUACGGGAGGCAGCAGUAGGGAAUCUUCCACAAUGGGCGCAAGCCUGAUGGAGCAACGCCGCGUGAGUGAAGAAGGUCUUCGGGAUCGGUAAAACUCUGUUGUUAGAGAAGAACAUGCAGGGAGUAACUGUUCUUGUAUUGACGGUAUCUAAACCAGAAAGCC